This 73-nucleotide transfer RNA is filed under the name Cladonia macilenta KoLRI003786. Its description in RNAcentral is "tRNA-Cys (GCA) (tRNA-Cys-GCA-1-1)". It matches the Rfam family "tRNA". From Rfam's summary of the family: Transfer RNA (tRNA) molecules are approximately 80 nucleotides in length. Their secondary structure includes four short double-helical elements and three loops (D, anti-codon, and T loops). Lineage: Eukaryota; Fungi; Ascomycota; Lecanoromycetes; Lecanorales; Cladoniaceae. RNAcentral also lists the same sequence under 1 other name. The record is from RNAcentral.
GCCCGAAUAGCUCAGCGGUUAGAGCGAGAGAUUGCAGAUCUCUAGGUCCAUCGUUCGAAUCGGUGUUCGGGCU